Molecule: long non-coding RNA, 259 nt
Organism: Oncorhynchus tshawytscha (Chinook salmon)
Lineage: Eukaryota; Metazoa; Chordata; Actinopteri; Salmoniformes; Salmonidae
Exons: 2
Source: RefSeq, a predicted model, not a curated record
CACGGCCAGGUUGGUCAUGGACCUCUGCUUGCGGAGGUUGGAGGACACUGGAAGCCGCCCCUCAGAGCUACCUGCACGGCACAUUCUUUGCACACACAAUUGUGCAUGAUUUACUGGUGUGGAAAUGUGGAAAUGGUGAGGAAAUCUGUGUCCAAAAGCUCUCAACAACUGGAACAUCCAGCUUAUCUGUUUAUCCUGUCUGAGCUGCCUUAUUGCCUAACCCUUGUUUUAAUCAACAUAAAUCAUAUAUUUAAAUCUA